UACGCCAUGUAGUAACCAUAUCAUCAUAUAUAUUAACAAUCUCUGCCUUCGCUGCUCAAUCAUUUCUUCUAUACUACUAAUGAUCUUUUGUUAUUGCAUUUUCUUUAUUCUUAAAUUCUUUAUUUCUCUAUUGUUAUUUUGUGUUAUCACAAAGACUUUAGAUUCCUGCCUGUCUACAUGUGAUAUAAAGAUCUGGUGAUAUUGGUAUCUACCAAUGAUAUGAAGAUCCAGCAAUCACUAUCAAUGAGUGCUAUCAAUUAUAGGUAUCGAUGGGAUGAAUAUCUAGUGAUAUCUGACAAUAUCAAUGAUUUACAGGUAGAAGACAGAAUAUUAUGAGGAUGGUUUAAAGGCAAAGCCAGAAAGUGCUGUAUUACGGAGAUGAUUUUUGGAACUACUAACAUAAUAAUAGAAAUUCAUACCGAUCAUAAAAGCUGAUUUGAGAGCUCUAGAAUACUAAUAUAAAAUCUCCCCUUCUACUCUUAAACCAUCCCCUAUUAUGGUUGGUAAUUAACUAUUGCUACGGUUUACAGCUGAUUAAUAUUCUUCAGUUGUUUGCACUCUCAUUGUUGAUGUUCUUCUCUGAUAUUCCAUCUAGGUACUGCACUAUAUCUAGUAUGUUUACGGAAUAGGCCAUAGCGAGGUUGGCAAGUGGUCUCAACAAUGGGAAGCAAUCAUAGCGAGCAAAGCGAAGUAUGUAAGAAAAUAAUAUUCAGAUACCAUCUAUAAUCAAUAUAAUAGAUAACUAUCCAGA
RNAcentral lists this small RNA (751 nucleotides) under Histoplasma ohiense. RNAcentral's name for it is "hypothetical lncRNA". Lineage: Eukaryota; Fungi; Ascomycota; Eurotiomycetes; Onygenales; Ajellomycetaceae. The record is from RNAcentral.